CCUGCCUCCAGGUUCCUGCCCUGUGUGAGCUCCUGACCUCUCUGCUUUUGAUGAUGGACUAUUGUAUGGGAACUGUGAGAGAAACGAACCCUUUCCUCUCCAAGUUGCUUUUGAUUUCACAGACUUAAAAUCUUCGGGUACCCAUGGAAUCUGAACUUCUGGGAUCUCAAAGCUGCCACUCUUGGACUUGUCAAACAUGGUGUGCAUGCAUCGAAGAAAGACUCAAUAAGAAGCCGGGAAGAGAGCCUUGACCAGAAGCCAGAAACUUCUAACCCUCAGAACCAUGAGGAAAACAGGGUUGUAUUGUCUAAGUCACCCCAUCCAUGAUGUUUUUUAUGAUUGGCCUGAGCUGAAUGAUAUGAUGACCAUGGGUUGACCUACUCUGUCCACGUGCAUCCCCACUGAUUAACAGGAGAGUGUGGGGUUCCUGUGCUGGACCUCACCACUGUGGAAAGAGAUGUCUUUUGCUGCGUUAAGGGUAAUAAGUUUUAGAAGAAAUGGAAAACAUGGAUUCCAGGUACCAUGGACCUGGUGCACAGGUAAUUUUGGAAAUUCCUAUCAUGCCUGACCGUCUGAGCUGCUUGCAUUAUCAAGUCUUUCCAGGAAGCCCUCAGAUCACAGCAGCACCAAUCUGCAAUAAAUGACAAACUUUGAAAA
Molecule: long non-coding RNA, 657 nt
Organism: Mesocricetus auratus (golden hamster)
Lineage: Eukaryota; Metazoa; Chordata; Mammalia; Rodentia; Cricetidae
Exons: 4
Source: RefSeq, a predicted model, not a curated record